GACGAACGCUGGCGGCGUGCUUAACACAUGCAAGUCGAACGGAAAGACCCUGCUUUUGUGUGGUUCUCGAGUGGCGAACGGGUGAGUAACACGUGAGUAACCUGCCCUUGACUUUGGGAUAACUUCAGGAAACUGGGGCUAAUACCGGAUAUGAUCUCCUGCUGCAUGGUGGUGGUUGGAAAGUUUCGGCGUUUGGGGAUGGACUCGCGGCUUAUCAGCUUGUUGGUGGGGUAGUGGCUUACCAAGGCUUUGACGGGUAGCCGGCCUGAGAGGGUGACCGGCCACAUUGGGACUGAGAGACGGCCCAGACUCCUACGGGAGGCAGCAGUGGGGAAUAUUGCACAAUGGGCGGAAGCCUGAUGCAGAAACGCCGCGUGCGGGAUGACGGCCUUCGGGUUGUAAACCGCUUUCGCCUGUGACGAAGCGUGAGUGACGGUAAUGGGUAAAGAAGCACCGGCUAACUACGUG
RNAcentral lists this ribosomal RNA (468 nucleotides) under uncultured bacterium. RNAcentral's name for it is "partial 16S ribosomal RNA". It matches the Rfam family "Bacterial small subunit ribosomal RNA", at positions 28 to 507 of the family's 1533-position model. The record is from RNAcentral.